This 434-nucleotide ribosomal RNA is filed under the name uncultured Lachnospiraceae bacterium. Its description in RNAcentral is "partial 16S ribosomal RNA". It matches the Rfam family "Bacterial small subunit ribosomal RNA", at positions 341 to 792 of the family's 1533-position model. Lineage: Bacteria; Bacillati; Bacillota; Clostridia; Lachnospirales; Lachnospiraceae. The record is from RNAcentral.
ACGGAAGGCAGCAGUGGGGAAUAUUGCACAAUGGAGGAAACUCUGAUGCAGCGACGCCGCGUGAGUGAAGAAGUAUUUCGGUAUGUAAAGCUCUAUCAGCAGGGAAGAUAAUGACGGUACCUGACUAAGAAGCCCCGGCUAGCUACGUGCCAGCAGCCGCGGUAAUACGUAGGGGGCAAGCGUUAUCCGGAUUUACUGGGUGUAAAGGGAGCGUAGGUGGUUUGGCAAGUCAGAAGUGAAGUGCAGGGGCUCAACUCCUGAACUGCUUUUGAAACUGUCAGACUAGAGUGCUGGAGAGGUAAGUGGAAUUCCUAGUGUAGCGGUGAAAUGCGUAGAUAUUAGGAGGAACACCAGUGGCGAAGGCGGCUUACUGGACUGUAACUGACGUUGAGGCUCGAAAGCGUGGGGAGCAAACAGGAUUAGAUACCCUGGUA